GACGAACGCUGGCGGCGUGCUUAACACAUGCAAGUCGAACAGAAAGGCCCUGCUUUUGUGGGGUGCUCGAGUGGCGAGCGGGUGAGUAACACGUGAGUAACCUGCCCUUGACUUUGGGAUAACUUCAGGAAACUGGGGCUAAUACCGGAUAGGAGCUCCUGCUGCAUGGUGGGGGUUGGAAAGUUUCGGCGGUUGGGGAUGGACUCGCGGCUUAUCAGCUUGUUGGUGGGGUAGUGGCUUACCAAGGCUUUGACGGGUAGCCGGCCUGAGAGGGUGACCGGCCACAUUGGGACUGAGAUACGGCCCAGACUCCUACGGGAGGCAGCAGUGGGGAAUAUUGCACAAUGGGCGGAAGCCUGAUGCAGCAACGCCGCGUGCGGGAUGACGGCCUUCGGGUUGUAAACCGCUUUCGCCUGUGACGAAGCGUGAGUGACGGUAAUGGGUAAAGAAGCACCGGCUAACUACGUG
RNAcentral lists this ribosomal RNA (468 nucleotides) under uncultured bacterium. RNAcentral's name for it is "partial 16S ribosomal RNA". It matches the Rfam family "Bacterial small subunit ribosomal RNA", at positions 28 to 507 of the family's 1533-position model. The record is from RNAcentral.